UUGUUUACUUGAACAAACAAACAACCUACAUUUUGUUAGUUGUCAGUCUACUCAAUACACUUGCACAUGAUUUAUAGACCUCUACAUACUCUUUUGGGGCCCUACGCCAUUCACUCUUGUAUUUCACCUAGUUAUUAUGCAACCACACUUGGAAUAUCUGUUAACCACUUGUAAAUUAUGGGUUUGCCUUGUUCAUUGAAGAAGCUUGCUUUCAGUAUUGCAACCAUUUGAUGUUUUAUUUGAAUGUUUACUAGUUGCUGGCUCAAAAGGGAAGCUAGAGAGACCUUCAUGAAGGCAAAAUAAUGUAGUAUUCAAUUGUUGAUGAAUGAUGCGCAAAUUCUUCUGCAACCAAAAGAAGCCAAAAUGUAUAUCACCUUUGCAUAGAUUUCAUAUUCAUGAUGAUCACAAUGCACAAAACAAAUCUACCAAAGCACCAUCUUUCGUUGUUUUUACAAGAAUACUAUAAAGAAAGAGUCAAUGUCAGCAAUUUAUUUGAACUCCUUUUGUCAUGACUCGAAACCAGGCUUUGCCAAGUCCCAAAUGUGACUACAAUCUCAUUCAAAUCAAUGGUCAGAUUUGAUUUGAUUAAUUUUUGCACAAGCACAUACUUAUCGAUUUAAACCUGGAGACAUGUAAUUAUAAAAUAAAUGGGCGUUUGAUCAUACAGAGCAACUAAACUUUCAUCAAAACUAAACUUUCACAAUACAUAAACCUGAAAUCAAACCAAGAUUUAUUUCAUUCCGUCAUCUUGUAAUGCACAAAAUAGUUCAGUUUAGAGGCAAAUUUUACAUCCCUUGGUGUAGGUACAUUAUAAAGCAUAAACCCUAUCAUUACUUUACUAAUAGUAACUUCUAUCUAUUAGCUUUAGCUCGAGAUACACAAAGCUCUAACUCUUCCUUUUGUGGUAGUAGCUUCACUAGGUUGCUACAUUUUUCUGUUUUUCCAAUCCCUACUUCGCUCAAGUCCAUGUUGCUGAGUAAUCUCUGCUCCUUUUUUUCCCCCCGCCUUCCACCAAAGAAUGUUUUCUAUUCUACCCAAGAUUGACAGAAUGACAUUCCAUCAGACCUGCCUGAGUGUUAUACUUGAUUGUCCAGUGAAGAAGUAUGCUCUCAUUAUGUCUUUUCCUCGCAUAAUAUGACUCUAGUCUGUUGUUGAACUGCUUGUUCUCAGUCUGUUGGAAAUGUAUGCUAUACUCAAAUGAUUGUUCCUAAGAACUACACUGUUUGGUAACUUUGAAGUUUCUAAACUUUUACUAGUUUAUGAUCUUAUUUAUUAUUCUUUUAUUUUGAAUUAUGAGCUGGUCUAAUGUCCUUGAUAUUGCUUAAGUUCCUGAUUCUUUAUACACUAAUUACUUGUGUAUGAACUAAUUGAAUAUUUUUGUUUGACAAUCUAAUAUGGUGAUUCUGGUUAUGUAUCAUUUCAUCUCUAACUAUGUUCUUAUAUAUUUUAAAAUAUGAUUGAAUCAGGUCACUGUCCAUGUCAAGGGUAAAACUGAGUGCUACGAAUGCCAACCAAAACCAACUCCAAAGACCUAUCCCGUUUGCACCAUCACCAGCACUCCUUCAAAGGUUUGAUCUUUAUUGGUGACUAUGGCUAGAUGCCUAAUCUUGAUUUCUGUGUGCUUGUUUAGUUGAAUUGUUUUUUUUAAUUUAUAUUGUUCCUUAGAAACAUUUUACUAGAAACAAAAGUAUUAUUUUAAAAGAAUGCUGUGCAAGGUUCGUCGAACCGGGUACUGGGAUCUGUACCGGUUGGUGGGUGGGUUGGUACCAUACCGACAUACAGUACGCUUGGGCGUACCGAUUAUGAACCAUCACACCCAAUUUUUUUUAAAUUUUCAAGUUUAAUAAUCUAGUAAUCAAUUUUUUUCAACGUUUUAAUGAUUUUAAGUCUAAUUUGAUAUUUUUGAUUUUUUUGAUGUUUUUAUGAUUUCGGUUUAACCUAAAUGAUGCAUCUUGUUGUUUUAAAGUGAUACAAAAUAUAAAAUGAUUAGUGAGAUGUAGAAUGUUAUAAAAAAUACGAAAUAUCAUAAAAUCAACUAGUGAGGUAAAAAAUAUAAAAUAAUACAAUUAAUUACGUAUGUUUAAAGUACAACAUACAUACCGAUAUUUAAAAUCUCGUCGAGUGGCGAUGCCUCUCGUAGAUAUUCGGAUCAUCAAUAUAGUCAGGAGGCACAUCAGCCCAUUCCUCUAACCAAGCAGUUGUAGUUUUGUAUAUUUAUUUCAUAAGAUUGCGCUCGGGGUUAUAAGCACUUUCGGAUAUCUCGCUGAAGCUCUGACUUUAAGAGGUGUCCUCUGGCUGCUAAUACGGCCGUAAAUGGGCCUAUCUGAAUAAGCCGACAGCAAAAUUUGAUCCGUAAAAUGCUUCGGGCUACGUAGGAUAGUAGCCACCAGAAGACGAUACUUUAGACGCACCAUAUUCAUAUUCGUAUUUGUAUGGGUCAUAGGUUGCUUAUGGCUGCGGGUUAUAGGAUCCAUAUACGACUCAGAACCUGAUACAUCUAUGAAUCUUAGUCUACGUGCGAGGUCAUUGGCAGCUGCAUCGUGUCCUCCUGAAUAACCUUGAGGAGCCUAUUUUCUAUAUGCAAUCAUAUCCUCACGGGCUCUACCAGAUCGUAUACUGUGGUUUCUAUCCUGUGUAACAUGCGUAAACUAGGACUCAUCGGUGAAUCGAAGACCAUCCUGCGGCUGUCUCAUAAACGAUGGUCUUAUGCCCUCUACUUCCUCCCUGGCCAGCAUAUCUAUGACCACCAGAAUUGCUGCUCCUGAUCUUUGAAUCUGAGUGAUCUGGCUCCUCCAUACUCUUCAUGGGGGCUGCAAGUGCUUUUUGUUCUCCUUUUUUUGGUCUGCUGAGUAGUUGCUUGCUUACCCUUCUUGCUCCCUCUGUCUGCUUAUCCUUAAUGCUCCUCUCUGCAUGCUUACUCUUUAUGCUCCUCUCUGCUUGGCUAUAUUGGGAGGAUGGAUGUCAUCUUUCUGACUGAGUCGAUCGAGUAGCGUAGUGGCCUCGUCUAAGCAUCUCUCGAUUAUAUCUUUAAAAGGAUAUCUCGGACAAGGAUUUAUGUGAUGACUGGCUCCUCAGUCAUCUUUGUAGGAUGUGUGGAAUAUGGCGAUCUACCCAUUGAUCUGCAUCGACCCUAGUCUUGUUGGCUACGAAAUUGGCCGGUUAUGGAGGCAAUCCUCGCUCAUCAAACUCCGGCUUCUGCUGUUGGCCUACAAGCUAUCCGAUCAUAGAAUCAUCCUCAUCGUCAAUGAAAGUAUUACGGAUCAUGUGGCCGUCGCUCCAUCAAGAUCUCUCCGGCAGCCUUAUAUUGUGGUCCAUUAUCAAUGAUGACAUGCAAAACAUUGUCUUCUUCUACUUGAUCAAUCACCUAUAUCAAUUUGAGGAUGUACGUAGCGUCGUGCACUUGUUCGGAAGCAUCAACCAACUUAUGGAAGAAAGUCUUCGUAUCACAAUAUGUCAAAAAGUUGAUAAUGCUCUGUCUGGUAGGACCGGUCCAAUCACCACGCAUCACUGUCAGUCCAUAUGUGGGCUACUUGCUCUUGUCUGAGGCAAUCAAUUUCUCUAUCUCCUCAUUAUUGUCAAAAAGUUCACUGUAAAUGUUUUUCGGUUCUGGAGAUUUGCAUCGGGGCCGGCUACCUGUAUGGAGAAAAUGAUAGACCUAUAGUACGUAUUGUCUGCCACAUUCGUUGGGAUGUGGCUGAAGUGGAACUAGGAUCCAAUAGCUCGCCACAUAUCCUUCUUCUUAUCCUUCUUCAACAUUGUGCCAACCCUUUGUUGCUUUGAAUCCCUGCUGGAGAAGGCACGUGGAUCUAACUUAUAGAUGGUGGCUCCUGGUAGAAUUUCUCUGGAGGACUUCUUUUUGCUACAAAAGUCCUCCGUAUAGAUGCAAUAUGGCCACCGCUUCUGCUGACGAUCUCCCUCAUUAAGGAAGUUUUCUUAAACUCUGGAUCUGCUUUGCUGCUUGUAGAACUGGAGCCCGAGUCGUAGUAUGAAGGCCCAAAUCGAGCCCUAUGCCUGACCAUCUCAUCCUGCUGCCACUAAUUAUCCAGGCUCGCCUGAAUGGUAGUUUAGAUCUGUGCCUCCUCGUCAUAUGGAGCGGAUGCCUCCUCUGACUCACUGGAGUGAUAGGAAGGUGGCUUUGCCGCUUGGUAGUCUACGUUUGCCUUUUUCUUGAAAACUCACUCUCUCCUUCGCUGCUCUAAAAUUAGCGAAAUGCUUUUUCAUCAGCUGUCGAACCUCUUUUGGGUAUUUUCGGCAUAUAGAUAUGUUGGAAGUAACCACCAACUAAGUGCUGCUUCAAUCUGGUUAUCCCUCCUUUUUUGAGCUCUAUGUUGCACCAGUUGCACUUUAAAUGGUACCGAUCCGAGAGCAUUUGCAUAUGAUUCCUACCAAUUUUAUGCUCUUGCUCCUUUUUCAUUGAUGGUUCCAUUCCUGUAGGUUUAUCAAGUAUAUCAGUUAAUCAAUUAUUUAAAAACAGUAAAAUUUCGUUACAAUGAAGAUAAUUUUUUUAUCUCAAAAAUACAUCUGAUUUGUCUAAUACAUAAUACUAAUUUUCAUAUUAUUUAUUUAUUUAUUUUUUAAAUUUUAAAAUAUGUUUAAAUAUCAUAAAUUCAAAAAAAUAUGUUUUCUACUUCAGAAAAUACUUCUAAUUAUGUAAUAUGUACUACUAAUUUUUCAUAAUUUUUGGUAUUAAUUAUAUAUUUUUAAAUAUUUUUUAUAUUUAAAAAUAAUUUAUAAAUAUAACUAUUUAAAAAAAUUAAUUUCAGCUCAGAUCUAUGUAGAACUUAACAAUGGAUGCUACAUAUUUUUCUAGGCUCAUAGGCAUGCAUCAAAUACUACUUAUUUCUCAUUUUUUUUUCAAAUUUAAGUCUAGGCCAUUGCGCACAUGAUCGCAUCAAAAAUUUGAAUAUAUGAACACCAAUUUUUUUUGCAGAGUAGCUUGCAUGCCUUUAAAUGCGCUUUUGAUUUUAUAUUUUUUUUGAUUUUUAUUAUAUAUAUAUAUAUUUUAUUGUUAUCCAAAAAUGUAUUUUUAAGUUUUAAAAAUUAUAUAUAAUCUGAAAAUAAUUUUUUUAGGUCAUCGUGUAGAUCAUCCAUAGAUCUACAACAUAUAAUAAAAUCUAGCCCAAAUUGAAAAUUUUGGCAUGAUUUUUUCUUAUUUUGCAAAUUUUGAGCUAUUUUUUAGGCCCACAACAAAUAAAAAUAUAGAAAAUGAGAUAGGAAAGAGGAAGCAUACCUUAUUUAGGCUUGAACGAAGCAACUUUUUUUUAAAAAAAGCAAAGGGAGAGGGGCCCUAUUCCGAACCGGGUCGACUCGGUACGGACCGUCUGGUUUGCACCGAGUUCUAAUAGAACUAGCCGGUUUAGUCCGGUUCGGGCUUUUUUCGGCUGGUUCUAAUCGGUUCGGAAUCCGUUCUGGCCGUUUCGAGGCCAGAACCAUUUUUGAUGAGCAAGUCGACUUGGUUUCCCACCGGGUCGGCUCUUUACGGGCCGAACCGGGUGGCUCGGUCCGGUUCGGUUUACCUUGAUUUAAAGUAUAACAAUGUUGAUCAUGGUUGGUGCGAAAAUAGUAGUUCCAGUGGUGGCUAUGGAACAAAUGGAAUGAGUGGAUGGUAGGUAAAACUCUUAACUAUUUCAAAUGUAUGACCAAGAUUGUCAUUGAUUUACACCAUAGGCUAGGUGUGGUCUAUUUUCAGCACUUAGUGCACUUAUCCUACUUCUGAUCAAUGUCAGCAUUCAAGUCUUAGGAGACAUUAUGUAGUUAUUUUGUGUUAUCAUCUGUAUGCUCAAUGUCUGUUUUUUUUUUACUUCUAUUGCUCAUGCCCCAAAAUGAUCCAUCAAACCCUUCUUAAUUGGAUGAUGCUUUGCCAUAAUUUGUAUGGCUAUUAUCUUGUAUCAACUUUCUAAAGAUUUAGAUAUAAUGUUUUGUCUAUAAAUAUUUUAGUUUAAGGCACUUUCUUACCUACAAAUGCUUUACAGUCAGCCUCUCAAUUUGUAAAAUGUAACUCCAAUAAGGAAUUGUUUCCAUCGUAUAACUUUUAGAUCAUAACCAGAUGAUUACUGCUGCCUUUUGUUUGUGGAGGAUGUUUAGCAUGGUCAUUUACUAGCUGGAAGCUUUUAUUGAAACUUGAAAGAAUUUCAAUUAUCAUUUCGGUCUCGUUGCUUGAGUUCUCAGCUUUUGUUUCUUUUAGAUAGGGCAUCAGUUUCUCAGGCUUGCUGAUAAUGCUAAAUUUGAUAAAUUUGUGUUGUGCAUCUCAUUAGUAAUUUUUAAGAAAGCUUAGCCUGGUGACCUUCAUUCUGCUUAUUAAUUGGGCCUAUUUUUUAGUCUGUACGUCCACCCUCACUCUUUUUCAUUCUUGUUCUUGUUAGUUGAUCUAUUUUGUUCGACAUAUCUGUCCAGCAGUCUAAGGCCUCUGUAUUUAUCCCAUGGUUUUGAAAUACUUCAGUAAUCAGUAUGAGUGCAUAAUAGUCAUAUACUGGUACAGUAUCUACCAUGAUACACUCCUGUAUCAGCUCAUGGUUUGUUGAUUGUAUGGCCCAGUAUGUACCACAGUACAGGGUUUGGUACGGGUGAUACAAACUGCAGUAUGCUCAGUUUCUCAAACCUUGAUUUAUUGUGGGGAAAAGUUUCUAUGUUAAGAAUCAUCAUGGGACCAAAACUUAACUUUGUUACAGCUGAGGCGAUGGAGAAUUAGGACCAUGAUCUGAUAAGACGCUGCCAAUUAAGUAGAUCAUUUAGAAGCUGUGGGUAUCUUACAAUAACACAAUUUGAGGCUACAUAUUAAUACAACUAACUUUGUGGUCAUAAUUGAGGGCAAAGUGAACCCAUGAAGUAACACCAAGGUUUAAGACUGAAGUUGCAAAAGAACACUACAUGAAGGAGAUGUUCGUUGAACCAAGGUGAGAAAAGAGCUUGAACAGCAAUUCUAAAGCUAGGAUGAACAAGUACAAUGAUGAUCUUAAGACACAUGAAAGGAGAUCAAACCAGAUGGAAGGCCGAAAAUGUCACCGAUGUCAAAAUAUCAGGACUUGCAUGAAUCAAGAGUGGCCUACUAUCUGAAUGCCGUGUGAAAGGGAUGUAAAUGGAAUGAUGGCUAUGAGCCCGUCAAGGUCCGCCGUGCCGACCACACCGAUGUACCGGUUCGCACCGGUACGGUACCGGUACCAUACCGAACUGAACCACUACCGUACCGGUUCGGCUGGUUUGGACCAAAAGUCAAAAAAAAAUUUGAAGCCGGUACGAGCCGGUACGUACCGGUACUGACCGGUACGGAUUGCAAAUGGUCGGAACCGAAAAAUGUAGCUGUACCGUAUCGGUUCUGUUCGGUAUUGGCCCAUACUGGCCCAUACCGACCGGUACGGCAGACCAUGGCCCGUCACAUGGUGGCUAUGCCAGAUAGAGGCAUUGCAUUAUAUGCACCAGUUGGUCAAAGAGCAGGGAAAAUAUGUUUCAUCUAGUUUUGCUUGGACUUGAAGAAGUUGAAAAGAAAUAGCAAGAAAAACUCUGUAAUGAAAAGGAAAAAGGUCCAAUGCUAGUAGAUUACAUUGGUCUGCCGGAGAGUCAUGAAGAAGACUGUCGUUAUUUUAAACAGCAAGAAGAUAGGUUUAUAGAUGUUGCGAACUGGAAGAGAUUGGUUUCUGUCAAUGAACUCAUGGGAGACAGGUUGGUUACAUGAAAGCAAUUGUUUGCCUAGAAAACUAUGGAAUUAUUCAAUGAAUCAAGAAUAAAAGCAAGUCAGCCAUGUCAGAGUUCAUCAGGGCCCCUAUGUGUUGAUAUUGGUAUAUGAUUGUAGUUCACCACUUGGAAGGAUGUAGACUCCAAAUACUGGUCCAUAUAUAUAAAACAAGGAAUCAAAUCCAAAAAUAUCAACUAGAGGGCCUAAAGAAAGAUUUUUUGAUGCGACCGAUCAGGAUUGGUGAAUAAAAUUAGGAUUAUAAGGCUAAGGUUUGCAGUACUUGUUUGUACUGCCCCAUACCGGGCGGUACUGUAUUAUUCCGGUACCAACAUUCUUGGUAACUAACCCUUUUAUUAGGCAUACUGAUACUGUACUGGCAUGUUACUGGUAUGGGGAUUGGUAUUGAGAUUACAGACCUUGCUAAAAGUAACUAAUGUUUGUAGGGGGUUUAUGGUAGAAGUGAUUAAUGAUGUCGAAAUAAUGGAAUAAAUAGCUAACAUAGGAACUAUAAUUCCUACAAAGCCCUUGCAUCAGGCAGAAAGGGGGUAAUAAGUUUAGUACACCUUAGCAAGCAACUAAGCUUAAAAUAAUCUGUUCCAAAUUGGAAUUGGCUUAAAUUCAUUUUAAAAGAAAUGCAGAUGUCUGCAAAAUAAAUGCCACUCCUCAAUGACGAUGUAAUGACUUCGUUAAUCACCGCAGGAGGGUGGAGAAGAUCUACAUGGCCUUCCAUUUGUUUUGAGGGGAUAAGGGCAAUUGGAAAUGAGAGUGUGGCUGGGGUUUCGAUUCAAAGCCUUAGUAGUUAGAAUCUUUUACUUAGGAUAAUCCACUCUAGAAUCUUCCUUGAAUCUAAAAUGCACACCCACUUCAAGUGCUUCCUUAAUAUUAGUGUUUCUAAUAUAUUUGCUUCCCUCACAUCCACACCUGCACCCGUACCUGCACAUGCUCCCACGUCCCAACUAAAUUCAACGACAAUUUAGCAUCUGAAUAUUCUUUUCAAUGAAAGGUUAAUGUUGGUGAUGAAUCAGAGAACAAACUAGGAUCUUGUUCCCUACCAAUUAUCAUGCACAAGGCCCUGAGUGCACUAGAAUUUGAUGUGGUUUUGUGUUGGCUAAUGGCUUGUUUGCUGAGUUUUGGAGAUGUUAGAUUGAUUCUUUGAUUGUAACCGAUAACUAGUUGGGGCAUUGCUGUAAGACCAUGUGAUGCCAGGACUGUAUAUUGAUGGAUGAGUAGGUCCUUGAAACUAUUGUGAUGGGCAUGAGCUAUGUGCAGGCAUGAUAUCAUGAAAUUCAAGGGGUGAUGUUGAAGUGAAUGUACUACAGUCAAGGCUUCAAGAUAUCAUAUAUGGUUAUUAAAAACUCAACCUAUAAGCAGGACACCACACUGGUUACAUGCAUGCAGACUAUACAACAUUGUGCAGUCUCAUUGUAGAGUAAAAUAAUACUUUGAUUGUAGGACACACUAAAGGUGUAUCGGUGUUACUUGUAUACAUGAGGAUUUGUGUCAAUGAUCACCAUGCUAAUUUAGAUCAAUUCUGUUUGCUGAUAUGCAGUGAUGGGCCUAUUUAAGUGAUGUAUAAUUUCUAUUAUUUGGAAAAGAAUAAUAUUUUUUGAGAGAAAAAUAAAUGAUAUUGUGUACCAUUAGAAAAUAAUGGGAUAUUCACAUUUUUGAUUAUUGUACUUUAAUAUUUGUACUUCUGUUUGCAAACAAUGUGGACCAAAGGGUCCAGCAUCUGAAUUUUAAUAGUUGAUAAACUAAGAUACUCUAAAUUGCAGCAAGGUCAUGAGCAAUGUGUAUCAGCAUUUUCUCCCCUAGAGGACUCUAAAAAUGUGCUUAAUUUGAAAGUGCAAAGCCAAGUUGUUGAUGCCUUAUGACAUUAUAAAACUAACAGAUAGUGAUCUUGCCUUAUAUUUUCAACUCUAGUGGCUAGAUUUUAGAAGAUUCACACUUUAUGCCUGGCUCGUUCUUAUUUUUUUUUUUGUUCUCCCGUUGUUAUAUUAAAGCCUGUAUCUUAUAUUGGCAGUUUGUUCACUGUAUCGUUUGGGCAAAGGACCUGCUUUUUGCAAAGUUGUUUGGAGAUAAAAAUCAGGAGAAUGAUCUUGACGUGCGCCCCAGUGAUGGCACUAAUUCAACGAAUCCUACUGAAAAUGUGUUUGAGCGAAGGGCGGAUGAGGAUCCUGAACAGUAUGGUCGUAAAAUUUAUGAUCAUGUUUUUGGAUAUAACAUUGAAGUUGCAUUAGCUAAUGAAGAAACGUGGAAGAAUAGAAACAAACCUAGGCCUGUCUAUGUCAGAGAUGUAUUUCCAGACAAACUUAUCCUGCAAAAUGGAAGUUUGGAGAAGAAUUGUGUUACUGAAGAGUCAGCUGUGUCAGCUAUGUCAUCUCUUGGUCUGAAGAAUCCUCAGGAUAUUUGGAGUCUUGCUGAGAAUUCAAGAAUCUUUUUGGAGGCCUUGAGAUUAUUUAUUGAAAAACGACAGAAGGUCCAUCUUCAUUCUCUCAGGAAUUUUUAAUCAGUUUUGUUUUCCAUUAUUUUACCUUGGAUUCUCUUUGAUUUUGGUUUUCAGGAUAUUGGGAAUCUGACAUUUGACAAAGAUGACCAAUUGGCUGUAGAAUUUGUGACUGCUGCAGCAAAUAUCAGGGCAUCUUCUUUUGGCAUUCCUUUGCACAGUCUGUUUGAAGCUAAAGGUAUUGCUGGCAAUAUUGUUCAUGCUGUUGCAACAACAAAUGCUAUUAUUGCUGGUUUGAUAGUAAUUGAAGCAAUCAAGGUUCUCCAGAGCGAUUUUCAGAACUACAGGUGUGUCCUAAUGUACCUAAACCUACUUUGUGCUGCCUUUCUCUGCUCAUUUUACAUUUGGUAGUAAAUUCUUUGCAGUUCUUGUUACAUGAGAUGUUUUGUUUGACACUAGUUGUGAUUAGUUAGUUUGUAUUAUUCCACAUUUGCAUUUUUUAAUUGUUUCAUCUUUCCUCACUCUCAUAUCUGCUCCAUCACCUGGUUGUACUCGAGUAAUAUGGGUCUGUCUUUAUUUAUUCCAAUUGCUUGCAACCUCUAACUGUCUUUUGCUGACUAAAUUUAUGCUUACUAUUAUAGUUUUUAUAUUUGUCAGGAUGACAUAUUGUCUUGAACAUCCAUCAAGAAAGAUGCUCUUAAUGCCGGUACAGCCAUUUGAGGCUAAUAAAUCAUGUUAUGUCUGUUCUGAGGUAUUCUUAUAUCUUCAUAUAUGUGUAUGCGUAUGUUUGUCUUCGUGUUUGCGUAUGUUUCUAUGGAUGCAUAUAUCUUUUCAAUGCUGUAAUAUAAUUAUGUAUAACAUGAUAUGAAACAGACACCCCUGCUUCUGGAGAUAAAUACUCGAACCUCAAAGUUGCGGGACUUCGUUGAGAAGAUAGUGAACAACAAACUGGGCAUGAAUUUACCAUUGAUAAUGCAUGGCUCAACCCUCAUCUUUGAGGCUGGUGAUGAUCUAGAAGAAGAUGUUGCUGCCAAUUAUGCGUUGAACCUUGACAAGGUUAUAAAAUAUUUCUUUCUUAUAGAUUUCUUUAGCUGGUUCUAUUUUAUUGUGGUCUUUAAAAUAUUCCUUCAUGGCUAUUUUUUGCAGGCCUUAGCAGAACUUCCUGCUCCAGUUACCAGUGGGACUGUGCUCACAGUUGAGGAUUUGCAGCAGGAAUUGUCAUGCAAUAUAAACAUCAAACACAGGUCUAUCUUUGAUGAUUGUGUCUAUUCCGGGCCUUUCCUUUCCUUUUUAUAACAGCUUUAUGGCUAUCACUAGGUUUGGGUCUUGUCUUAUUUGUCAGUUUCAUUUGGUCUCUGCAUUGGUACCUUAUGUUAAUAUGCGUAAUGUGUAGUCUGCACAAGCUUUAGUCGAACUUAGAUUAAUAGGCACAUGAUUAAAUUUAGGUACAUAAGGGUCUGUAUAGACAUGCUAUUUCAAAUAUAUAGAAAUUACAUGGGAAGGAAGAAAAUAACAAGAUGACAUGGCAAUGUUUUGAAGGUUUUUUUAUUUCAAUGAAGUCUUUCUUUUUUAUUUCAGAAAAGGGCAUAAUAAAGUCAUUUUUUUAAUUGCUUAACUAAAUAAUGAGGGUCUAACUGUUUGCUGACAUUGUCUAAAUGCAAUUAAGUGAUAAAUGCAUUUAAGUGAACACUUUUGAGGACAUGAUAAAAAAUGAUGAUCUAGAGCAUGCCACCAUUUUCUUUUGUUUCUCUUAUAGAAAAUAAUGGGAGACCAAUUUAGACAGUUUUGUUAGAAAUAGUUAGGCUAAUGAAAUGGAUAGUUGCCAAUAAAUUAUUAUGAUCAAUGACUUAAGAGCAUUUAAUAUCUCAAGGAUGCUAGUAAAUUGUGUCCUUCAAGCUUAAUGAAACAGGUUGAAGGCUUGUUAAUGCAAGGCAGGCAUUUGAAUACCUACGUGGUAGUUAUCUUGAGUAACAGAUUUCUCAAGGAAUGUCUGGAACGAGGAUAUCUAAAUUAGGGAUGUCCUAAACAGGUAGUCAUCUCAAAUAAAAAAAAUUCUUUCUUGGAGACAAAAGUAGGGAAAUCGAAAACAUUCUAGUCUCUACAUGUAAAUGCUAUGGGAAAGGCCAAGUUCAUAAUGAUCUGCAUAAAAUUUCCAUGCAGGUGCCAAUUUUGCUGCCCUUGUUGUCCCAUAAAUGCAUCUGCAUCUGCUUUCAUUUUCCAACUGUAAACGUUCCAUCUCAAACCUAGUUUGGUUAUUCAACCUUGAAUACCAAUUUUGUAUCGAUAGCAUAGUCUUAGGAAGAAUAAAAACAGCAAUAUACAUUAAUUUGAUGACUAUCAAUAUGUAUCUAUAUCUAUAUCUAUAUCUAUAUCUAUANNNNNNNNNNNNNNNNNNGGGUGUUAGUAAUGUGGAUGUUUUUCUUAGAAAUUGUAUUUCUAUGUCAUUUUGGUAACCAUAUAUUCCCAGACAUUGUUCAGGUCAGUAUUUAUAUCAUGUCAUGUCAACUUAUUCUUUCUUACCCAUAUGUUUAACAUGAAGCUAAUAAUCUAAGAGUUGUGCUUUGCAUACAGAUGCAUGCCGUCAUGUAGGUACUAAUCAUCCGCAUGCAACGUGAACCAAAAAUACCUGUUUAUUUGAGUGAGCCAUUCGUCAGACACAUAUGGGGCUUGCAUAUUAAGUGGUCUUUGGUAUGGUUCAUUCUGUGUCAUGGUUUCACCUCCAUUUUCUUUAGCAUUGGUCAAAUUCUGAAGAAGGCAAAGUUUAUUACGUUGUAUUACCUCCAUAUGUAACUCCCAUGUGAAAUAUCCGGUUGUUUGCAAUUGUGUUGCCAAUUCAUCCCCUAAAUUCUCUACAUCCUAACACUUUCACAGGAUACGAUGUCAAAAUAUGUAUACUACAGUAAAUUGACUAGUCAAUAACACUUUCAUCAUAGAAAUUAUGUUGAUGGCUAUUUCCCUUGAGAAUGAGGAUGAGGAAAAAAGAUGGAUUGGCUAGCCGGAUCAAUGCAUAGACAUGCCAUCGGUUACUCACCGGAAAGGAUGAAGAAUGGGAUAUGGAUUUGAGAGUGUGGAUUCUACUACUUUGAACCUUUAAAGACUUUCAUUACUAGGAUGCUGCCAAUAAAAAAUAGGCAACAAUGAUAAACUAAUUGCAGGAAACUUAAAGAAAGAUCAAAAUUAGGUUCGUCAUCUCGGUAUUGGACCCAUAUCGGUACCAUCCUGUUGCAGUAUCGGUACGUCUGGUAUGGUACCCUAUUCGGCAUAGUGAGCGUCGGUAUGCUCUUCGUACUAUGUACCGGUUCGGUUACGGUAUGGUGGUACGCACCUGUACUGAUUAGUACGGUAAAUCUUGCAUAAAAUUGAUUGAAAAGUAAAAGGUGAAAAUUAAAAUAAUUUGUUUGAGUUGCAAAAAAAAAAAUCCAUUGUACUAUUGCAAUCUUGUAUUUAUGUGUGGCAUCUUUAAUUGUCUGGACAAUUGUCAUGCUUCUACUUUGUUGAUUAUUCUUGCCUGUUCAUGCCAUGUUGUCCACCACUACUACUACUAAGUGACAAUUGCUGUUUCUUCCACGACUCUUUAACUUCGGGCAACAUUUCACUUCGCACAUUCUUAGUCUUGGUAAUCAUCCCGCCCCCCCCCCCCGCCGCCGCGCAAAAAAAAAAAAAAUAGUGUCCUGAUUGAUAGCUUACAUUAUCUCGCUCAUAGUCUUUGCACUCGUUGAUACUUGGUCUAAGAUUGUCAAUCACAAGGCUUCUUGCCACUCGGUUACGAUCAACAUCCUAGCAUUUGAUCUUACUUAGCCUACCUUGCCGUAUUUGGUUUUCACUCGGUCUACGCCCUAGCAUCUAAUUUAUGUUCAGUCUACCUUCUGGUAUCGGGUAUAUACGUGGUCAGCACCCUUUCGUACUCGGCUUGUACCUUGGGUUGUCUUGAUGCUUGGUCCAUUUUCCAUUACCAAGAACUAGGUCCAUUAGUUGUCUCCAUUCUCUCCCAAAGUCCCCACAACUCUACUAUCUCAGAUAAUGUCAAAGCCUGUGACUGAUCAAUCUCUAGAUCUCUGCUUGUAAGGCCCAGCACGGUCAAUUGACUGGCUGGUCUAGUUCAUAUGAGGCCUGGCUUUGUCCCGACCUAGUGCUGGAGCGAGGCUCACAACGGCUUGCUUCUAACUGGAAUCAGGAGGAACCUCUAUUUGGGAUGGAGACUAACUCCAUCUCCAACUCUGGCAAGGCCACCAUCUAUUUAAUUCCCUAACUCAUCCCUAAGAUGAAUUGCACCCCAUGCCUUUGCUUCUAACUUCUCUCUUCCUCUAGUCCUCGAUUUUCAUCGCAGUUGGGUACCAUCAUUGUGACCGCGGUUGAUUCUCGCUGGAGAUGAGGUAAGAGCCACCUUUGCCCCUUGGAAUCUCUUUCUCCAUCUUUUCCUUCUAGAAUCAUCGACACCGACCUAGAUUGAGGCAAAGAAUUGUCGGAAAUUGAGCCAAGACCAUUGCUUCCUAUGUUUUCUGAUUCUCAUCCUUCUUUCGUUUCCUUCAUCGUGAUUCGAAGUCGGGGACCUUGCCUGACCUUCGAUGAGCAAAGCAACUUCUUAUGACCAGUUGUUGGAGUCUAGUCACCAGCGAGCGGGCUAGAACCCGAAUUGAUGCCGAGCCCCUUUGAUGGCCCCUAUUUUGGCCCAACUCUUGUUUUUGUAUUGUCUCGCCGACCAACCAUCAUCAUCGGCCGUUCGCCGUCGUGCAUUGACAUUGUGGAUUGUGAUCCUUCGACCACCACUAUUGCCUAGCCACUGACCUCCUCCCCUUCCAUUUUUUUCAUCCUUGUAUGCCACUAUUUUUCUCUCUGCGCUCUCUGUCUCCCUGAUGUUGGGUGGAACCUAGAGGGCCCCUCCCCUUUGACCUUGGUUGACCUCAGUGUGGGGGGUCCUGAAUUGCCCUAGUGAUCAGACAGCACAUCGGCUCCCACCUCGGCCCUCAUUGCGAAUCGUGGAACUCUAUCAUUAUUGAUCCCUGCUAUAUUAUCUAUACUCAAACUUGAUUCUGGUUCUGUGAUUUGACCAAUUGGAUUGCCUAGAUCGGAUCGACCUAGGGCAUCGGAUGCUACCGCCUAGUUGGCCUUGUCCUUCCUCCACCAUUUUCAUCAUAUUUUUCCACCAUUGCCUCGAUUUCAACCACCAUAUUAUUUAAUUACUGGACUUGAAUCCGUGUAGGGCUGCAAUUGUUUCGACAAGAAGAGGUCAGAAAUGGGUACUACAGUAUAGUCCUUUAGUCGAAGUUUAUAGGGAUUUUUUCAAGAAAUAAUUUGGAUCUGUCUGUGUUCUCAUGAGGUAAGCAAUGAUCUACCUUUUCUAGAUUUUUCAUUAAAAUAUAUAUUAUUUUUGGCAUCAAAUAAAUUGUAAAUCGGUUUAUACAUGAUUUAUAAAUUUUAUGAAACUGCAUUUUGAAUUGAAAAUAAACAUGUAAUUUUGAAGUAAUAUUUUGUGGAAUAUUAUUAUGUAUAUUGAUUUUAUAUGGUAUAUCAUACUUUGAUUGGAUUAUGUUAUAUAUGUCAUUCUGUAAAAAGAGCUCUGAUACGUAUUGGGUUUGGAUUUUUGGCAUGAUUAUGUUCUGAACUUUGCUAGUUGGGAGUUAUGCAUUGACACUUUGAUUAUUAUCGAGCUCAUUAUUCUUGCCUCCCAUAGGGUAUAAAUAUGUUAUUCUGGCCCAUGCCGCAGGAUAUAAGUAGGUAUUCCGGCCCACUCCGCAAAGUAUUAGUGUGGUUCUCUGUCUUGGCCAUAGAGAAUAAGUGUGGUUAUAGUUAAGGCUGUUGAGUUGAACAUGAUAAUUUCAAAUCGGAUUUAUGAAUAUAAAUAUGAAUAUGAAUACUGUAGCACGAACGGAUAUUUUUGGAUUUGUGUUUUAAAUGAAACUGUUAGGAUCUGUCACAUGCCGCAGAAAAAUUUCAAAAAUUUUCAGAUCUGCAGCGGAAGGGCAUGCGCGGAUCCCGUUCAUUGUAUGAACGUAUUUUAAAAACGAUUUAGAUGGAUUAGGAUUAAAUUAUUUUAAACCAUUUUAGAUGAUUAAGAAGAUCAGAUCUUCACCUUGUGCGGGUAGAUGGUCUCUGCAAAUCUGAUUUAUGUGGAUUUGUUGAAGGUUCGAUGGAAGCCGCAUACUCGUCCGGCCUCUACGGGUAUCCACAUAAGGUAAUGAACCGAUCGAAGCUUUUGGAUCUCCCCGGGGUGCUAGCUCCCUUGCAGAGAUGGCUUUUGAUGGUUGAUAUCCUCUUCUUUGAAUUAACUUUUGAUUGCCUUGAGAGAAGGAAGAAGGAGGGAUCUAGGAUGAAGAAAACAAGGCUCUUCGCAGCUUUUUCUUUUCCUUGCGCUAGAACCAAAAGAAGAGGAGGAAGGAGGCCACGCCACCCUUUGUUUUCUUCCCUUGUUCUUACGGCUGAAAGGAGGAAUGGGAGGGAGUUCUUGCUGCCGUGAAUGCCAAGGAAAAGCAUGAGAGGAGGGGCCGAAAUCCCUCCUCCUUUAGAACUACUAAUGGAUAAAGAUGAGUUCCUAUUUUUUAGGAACUCAUCCUUAUCCCAUCAUUUGGCUAGCUAGGAGGGGCGUACGCCCCUCCUUUCUCUUUAUACUUAUAUGCUUAUUUUUGGUAAAGAAUAUUUAUUAUAUGAAUUACCAUAUGAAUAUGAUUAUGAACAUUUGAAUAGUAUUGGAUAUUUUGGAUAUAUUAUUAUUUUUGAAAAUACUCAUUUACAUUAUUACUUGAAUUAUCUAGUUAAGGUACUCAUUACUUACUGGGUUGUUGAGCUCAUUAUCUAGUCUCUUCUUUCCUUACAGAUUCAGGAAAUUAGUUGUUAAUGGGGUACCACUGUGGGCAUAUCAUUAGAAGUGAGAAUCAACCUUACCGAUGUAGCAUAGAACUGGUAUUGCUACUAAAGUUUAUUUUAAUUAGUGAUUGAAGAACAGUAGAUGUAAAGACUCUUAUGAACAAGAAAUUCUGGAUAUUUUUUUUAUAGUUUGGGUUUAUUAAUUAUUAGAAAUUGGAAAUUGUUCUGAUUUUAUUCCAUUACGCUAUUAUGAGGUAUAAUGGAAGCCUUGCAUGCUUGCGGUAGAAGUUCGCUUUAAGUGUGCAACAGUUGCCAUAAUAGCACUAAAGAAAAGGAAGAAAUAAGUUUGAUGCUUUUGCUAAAAUAGCCCGGACACUUUAGAUUAUAGUGCUUAGUAGUAAAAUAUUUAAGAAUUAUAGUGUCAUCAUUGGGCUGUUUAGUUGCAUGCAAUUCAAAAGUAGGCUGCACUUCAAUUGCUUGCAAUUAGAAUUGCAAUUGUAGGAAAGGGGUCUUGUUUAGUUGUCUGUAAUUGAAAAUUGGGAAUGCAUUUACAAAAAAUUGGUUGUUUGAUGUGGAAAGAGGUAUGGUUACAGUGUAGCUGAGCUGGUAAGGUUCGCUGAGAAACACAGACUGAUCCUUUUUUUAAUUAUAAUGUAAUAUUUAUCAUGUUAUUUUUAUAAUAUUAUAGAAAAAUAAUAUUUCUAUUAAAUUAUUAUUUGAUUAGUAUACGGAUAAUUACUAUAGUAAUUCUAUGAAUAUAAACUAACUUGAUGCUAUAAUAAUUAGAAAUUAUUCAUCACAUGCAUUAUGAUAAUUAAUUGUUAUUAUAUAUUAUUUGCCAUAGGCAAUUAGUAUUAUGAUAAGAUUAAAUAAUACUACGUUACUCUAGUAAUAAUAGCAUUAUCAUAAUAUUAUUAUAAUAUUCUAUUAAUAUUUAAUAUAAUAUAGUCUACUACUAUCAUAGCAGUAAUGUCAUGUUAUAAUGAUAAUACUUUUCUAUAAUAAUAUCUUAACAUAAUAAUGUUAUAAUAUAUAAACAUUCCAAUAAUUAUAAAUAUUAUUAUAAUACAAUCAUGAUAUAAUAUAUGAUGACAAUAUUAUCAUAGUAUUAUAGUUUUGUAUUAUGAUAUAAUACAUAAUAUUAUUAUCAUAAUAUUACUAUUAGAAUAUAAUAAUAUGACAUAAUAUAAUAGGAUAAUAAUAUCAUAAUACUAUAACUAUAUUAUGAUUGUAUUUUACCUCUUUAUAAUAAUAUAAUUUUUUAAAUUACAAUGACAAUGUGAAGAAGGGGAAUAGAACCUGUUCAAAUGGCUUUCUCAAAAUUGUUAGAUUCCUUAAGAGUUGUAACUGGAACUGCAACCAAUUUUGGCUGUAGUUCCAAUUUGUAAGUUUUUUUUAAUAGUUGAAUUGCAGCCUGCAAUUGCAAUUGCAGGCACCCGAUCACUUGUUUUUGGCAUUUGCAUUUCUGUUGCAACCAAUUGCAGCUGCAGGCUACCAAUUGCGAGCAGCCAAAUAGCCCCCAGUUGUAAUAAGGUAUUUUUUUGGAUCAUACACUCCCAAAAAUCAUGCUAAGUGCCAACACUUCUAGCUGAUGUAAGCAUAGUUUUUGAGUUUCAUAGGGUUAUGCUGUUUUAUAUGAUAUUCAAGAUUUCAGAAGUGUUGGCACUGCAAAAAGGAUGUCCUAAUGCCUAGGGCUUCCACUAUUGCGGGGUCUAAAACCGCAGGCUUACCCUAGCAUGCAGAGAGGCUAUUUUUGUGUUCGAACCGGUGACCCCCAAGCCAAAAUGGAGUAAUCUUGCCAUUGCACCAAGGCCAAGUAUUGGUACUCCAAAAUUUUUAAAAAAUUUUAAAUAAAUGUUGAAUAGAGAAAGAUAAGAGCAGCUCUAAAAGUUGUGAUUUAACCUAUGCAUUCAAUGCACUAAAAACUAAAGCAAUCAUUGCAGGAAAAAGGUGAUUUGAUGCAUGGACCAAAUGAGAAGAUCAUCUUCAUUGAUGUAAAACUAUCUAGUGCAAUACAUGAUGAUAAAUUUCUCCUCUAUUGGUAGGAGCAACUUUUGGAGUUCUCCUGUGGGAGCAUUGCAAGGCUACCAGAUUUGUAUAUGCUCCAUUUACCUUUCCAAAUACAGUUAUUGUUUUAUUUUUGUGUAGAAGGAUACCACAUAUGGAAGUGUACCCACUUAUAGAGGUGUACCCACUUCAUAGUCUCCCCAGAAACUUCUUGCCACAUCUGCUUUCUAAAUGUUUUCUUUUUUCUUUUUUUAAAAAAAAGAGAUCCACAUAUCUGCACUCUUAUCUGCUCCCACAGCUGGAGUCCCUUCUGGUAAUGGAGGUUCUAUGGACUCUAGAUAUUCCAUUUUUUGUUGAUCUAUAUCUUGUGCUGAAAUUUGCAGGGAGGAGUUUGAUGAGGAAAAAGAACCUGAUGGGAUGCUCCUGUCUGGGUGGGUAGCUCCUACUGAGAAAGACGCUCGGCUUGUAAGCAAUGGUGAGAGUACAUCAGCUGCGCAACUGGCAGAAAAAUCUGAUGAGGAUGGGAUAGCUCCGGCCAGAUCUGGGACAAAGAGAAAACAAUCUGAGAUGUCGGAAAUGAUAGACAAUAUUGAUGAUAUGAAGCCUUGUUCAAGCCUUGACAUUGGUGAUCAACUAAAUCCUCAAGAGGUUGAAGACAAUGAUGAUGAUGAUGAUGAUAUUGUCAUGCUUGACGAGAACCCUGGACCAAGCAAGAGGAAGAAAUUACAAUAGAAUGUACUGUCAAUUAUUUCAAAUGAUGCAUCUUAUUCCAACCUGAAUAGAUGGUAUCCAGUUAUCUAUUAACAGCUUUUGACCUUAUAGGAUUCUAAUAUCAUCACUAACACAUUGUUCCUGGUGCAUCGUCAAUGUAAUUAAUUGCUUGGGCGAAGUCCAUGGACAUGGAAGUGCAUGUUUAAAAGCAUGGUGAAGAUUAUGUGUCCUCCAUAUAGGUUGGUAAGCAUAGUUGGACUGGUGAUAUUGGAAUUUUUUUUUUUUUGUACAUUUUGGUUGGAGUAAGAUGUGAUCUGUUUUUUGAUGGGUGUAACGUGUUAACUACUGAUAAUUUUUUGACUUUUUAAAUUAUGUAUGCAAGGAUUUGUUUUUACUGUUCCAGUUAGAUGUGAUCAAACCGUUGCAAAAUGUUGGAUCAAGUACUUGUAAAUUGCAGUGACUGAUACAUUACUUUCAGUACCCUGAUGAUCCUUUAGUAAUGCUAUCCUGGUUCCGUUUGUGAUUUUAUCAUAUGCUGGAUCAUAGCGUAGACUAUGAAUAUUAUAGGUAAUUUUAUCAGAACUGAUCUAGGGAAUUACACCAGAGAAUUUCUAACCAGUAUCCUCCCCAGCUGGUUUUAAACCCUCUUUCUGCUGCUUUUUUUACUGCAAUGUCAGGGAGUGAAUGAUGGAUUCCUGCAUAAGCUUGAAAAUUUUCUAUCUGAUAUCGAGAUUAAAUGAUUGGAUUCCCCAUGGCAUUUGUUGGCACGAUCACACUGGAUAUCUCAUAAUAUACUUAAAAUGUUAUCUUCUUGUUGUCUGUAAGGUCUGCUCCACUGUAAGUGAAAAAGUUUCUACUGCCAGUGAGCAUUCAGAUGCAUGCUCGCUUCUCUUUUAAUAUUCGUUCACUUUAACAGGUGCACCGGAUACUUGAAAUGAGCUCUCCUUGCAGGUCUGCAAGCUUGGAAUGCUGGGACCUGCCACAAAAGCUGGGUGGCUAACUAGUUCCCCAGUGUUCCUAACACUACUCAUCUCGCGGGGUGUGUUUGCCUUCAUCCGUCUGAAGUAAUUGAAGAAAGAUACUAAUUAUGAUGCACUAGGAUAAGUUAAAUUAUUUCUACGAAAUAUUUCUACGCCCCGGUGAGGGUGGUCGUUUGCGCAGAAGCUUGUGCAGUCUAUUGUGAAGGAUGCGCAUUGCAAAUAAAGUCUAUAUUUAUGGUAAGUUCACUUGAUUUUCUAUGUUCACCUAAGACUUUGAGAGAUGCAAGAGGGCUGCAUCAAUCAAAAGCGAAAAGCAAAUUUGAGAUAAAAUGUCCCAACUAUCAGAGGCUAAGAUCUACCAUUUAUCUAUUCAGUAUUCGUAUCCAUCAUUACCCACCCAGCAGUGGCAGCAAUGCUUUGAGUUCAAGGAUCUUUGAUCCAAGGAGUUUCCCACAAAGUUAUAUGCUCAUUCCACUAAUUUAUUAUCUUGACAUUAGUCAUAUUCUUCCCGAAAGUUUAGACUUGGUCUCAUUAGUUCCAUGCUCCCAAGCGCCACCCAUGACCUGUUUCGGUCAUCACCAGAGAAAACUGCAUCAUCUCCCCAGUUGAACUAACAGAGGGAACAUCCUCCUUUUCAAGUUCAAGGAAAGGAAUGCAUGGAAGCAAGUUAUGCUCCUGUGAUGAAGGUUGGUCUACCUUGACUGAAAAGAUUUUAAACACAAUACCUGGCUACAAAGGACCGAUAAACUUGUGAAUGAUAAUGCAGAUUCAGCAUGCCACUCAAGCGAAAUAAACACACCCAACCUUGAAAAUCUUGGAUGCAUUAAAUAUAUAAUUCAACAGGUGACAAGUGCCAGAGAAAGAAGCUUAGAGAAUAAUCACAAGGUUGGUCAUAUAGCAUACUGCAUUCUUUACCGAAACCCCUACAAACAGUUUGUGUUUCCAAAUUUCUCUCAGUGCAGCCACCUGUCUCUUGGGCCCUGUGUCCUCCUGGCCUCCAACCUGUUGGAAAUAUUAAUGACAUCCAAAUGUCGCUCACAGUAUAAGUAACAAAGCUUCAAUAUCUCCUUCUUGGGGGGCUCCUGGAACGGUGAGCACGUGGUGACCUGUGGAAAGAGAUAAAGUAGUCAUACAUGCAAUGCUUAAUACUUCUUGGAGGUUUCUUAUCACUUUGUAAAGUUGAAUGAAAAGCUAACUUAAAUGGACACCAUCGAAAAUGGAAACUAGGAAGUUGCAAUAUUGCUGCAGCAUGGAAGUAGGUGGAGUUGGCUUAAAUAGAUAACAAGAAUCACUAUCAUCAUGUAACCUGGUGCUCGAUAAACCUAGAAAAUCAACAAUGACACCAAAGAAAAUUCACUAAUUCAUCUUGUUAAUUUCAAUAUGGUAAUUAAAUAACUAGGGGCGGCAAUAAUUCAGGUUUUGGUUGGCUUUUGCUUAUCCACAUCCAAACACAAAUUACAUGUGUCAGAUCCGAAUGCAAUUGACAAUCCUAUACCCCAUAGCGAACCCAAAGUAUAAUUGGUCUUCGGUCAGGUUUCGGGUUACUACAUAGAUCUGCUGGGCUGUUUCUAUGAUCUAUCCUUAAAAUGAGGUGAGGCAAAAUUGCAAGCACAAGGUGCUGUGGGUGGAACCUAAUACUCAUUGGAAUUGCUGAACCUUGUCCUCAUCUCUGUUGCACAGACAAUCAUUGACAUCACUUGUCAUGGUCUCCAUCAUGAGAAGGAAAUAAAAAUUCUGGGAUACUCUUGGAAGGCAAGAGAUAAAAUAGUCGUUUCAGUCGAGAUUACUAAAUAAAAGAGAGAGAUUUUCUUCAUGUAAUUAUACAUAAAUUCACAUAUAUAAUUGAGUUGGCCAAUGGAUCGUGGGUUUGAAUCAUCCUAUAUCCAAGCCCAACCUAACAAGGUUUCAGAUUUGAUUUUGGGGAGCCAAACCUGCACCAGUAGAUUAUGGAGUUUGUUUUUAUACCCAAACCUCGGAUUUUGGGUGGAUUCAGGUCAGGCCAGUGGCAUCCAAUACCACCCCUACAAAUGAGACAUCAUCCUAAUGACUGAAAACGAAAAGGCUAAUAGCCACCUUCCAUAUGCUUUGCCCACAAAACAAAAGGAGAUAAUGUUAAAUCACAUACAAAUAAAAAAGCCAUAAAAGUGAGGCCUGGUGAGACAAGGCUCCCAUCAUUGCAGAGUCUGGGAAGGGUUAGAUACACACAACUUUAACCCCAUGUGUGGAGAGGGUGUAUGUGUGUUUUGAAUCCAUGAUACCCAGGUCACAGUGGAGCUACCUUACUGCUAUGCCAAGGCUCACCUUUAAAAAGGGUGCCCCGGUGCACAAGGCUCCAGCGCCACUAAAGGACCUGGGAGGGUCAAAUACACGUAGCCUUACUCUACAUACAAAGAGGCUAUUUACAUGUUUCAAACCUGUGAUGCCUAGGUCACAAUGGAGCAAUGUUACCAUGAGCCUAAAAACUAUCUAAUGUCACAAAUAGAGAAGAUUCGGAAAACUCGAGUUUUGAAAUAAUAUCCACAUUAUAAAAGGGAAAAGAAAGAAAUAAAGCAACAAAAAUAAUGUACAAUAUGGGCAAUACCCAGCUUGGAGGUUAGAAACUUUGCACAUCAAAUUAAAUUUUAAAACUCAGAGCAACCAACUUGAAAGUGAAAAUCUGAUUAAAUGACACAUACUACAUGUAAAGAAUAUAAAUUACUUGAGAAUAAAAGCUUACCUCCUUCUCAUGUUUCUGCGCUUGAUAGGACCUUUGCUAAAUGCCCAGUCAACAUAUAUGGUUUGUGUGAGGAGCUCAGUUCCAUUCAGCGUUGUAAUUGCAUCUUGUGCUUCCUUGAAGUUCUCAUAUUCAAUCAGAGCAUAACCCUGAAAGAAACAUCCAAAUUUUAAUGCACAUGUGGCAGUUAAGGAAAGACAGAUAUUACAUACAAACACAAAG
RNAcentral lists this long non-coding RNA (23546 nucleotides) under Phoenix dactylifera (date palm). RNAcentral's name for it is "long non-coding RNA (PDAC_LNC006856)". The record is from RNAcentral. Lineage: Eukaryota; Viridiplantae; Streptophyta; Magnoliopsida; Arecales; Arecaceae.